Equus quagga is the source of this 736-nucleotide long non-coding RNA. RefSeq lists it as uncharacterized. The transcript is spliced from 5 exons. NCBI's taxonomy places the organism in Eukaryota, Metazoa, Chordata, Mammalia, Perissodactyla, Equidae. The record is from RefSeq and is a predicted model, not a curated record.
GGUUGUUCAGCUCAUUGGCGAUCACUUUGUCCUGCGAGGCGGUUCACACCUGGAGCACGGGUUCUGAGGGAGCCACAGGAGCAGGAGCUGUGUGCUUCGGAGGAGGUUGGAGCCCUUCUGUGGGGCCUUCAGGUGUUUCAUCUCCACUCGGACGCCAGGCCACCCUUGUUAACUCUUGGCUUGCUGCAUUUUACCUGUUCUUUCUUCGCUGGUGGAAUUCUCCAGGCAUGUUGAAGUAGGGGCUGGUGAAGAAGGACACCACCCACAACUGGAACCUGGAGUCCAGUAGGAGGAUGGAUUCUCUAUGGACUGCAGGUUACCAUAAUAGGGCCAGGAGCGCGGGAGCCCUGAUGGUGUAUGGAAGCAGCUGUCGACCCUGAGAAAAUUCACAGCACACUAUCACAAUACCUUAACCCAGCAGUUCUCAACCCAGAAUCUGCUGUCAGUGGACCAGUUUGGUAGUCAUUUGUGCUUCCGACCGGGGACAGCCUGCGUUUGCUCACCAGUGGCAGAAUGGGUUGUUGACCUUUGACUUGGCCAGCAUGGACUCCUGCAGCCUCGCCCUAGCUCUCCCCAGGGGUCUGGCAGCACUGACAAAAGGAGACAGAUUGCCAUGGAAUUUCAGAUGUGCAUUGGCUGGAGUUCUGGCAGCCACAGCGGACCCAGAAUGGAAGCCAUGCAUGGCGGAAGAGAAAGACAGAAGGAGCCUGGAUCCCCACGAAGCAUUCACAGCAGC